AUAUUUUCUUUGAAAUUCAAUAAAUUAAUUAAAUUUUUUAAUAUUUAUAUAAAAAUCUUAAAUUAUGCAUUCUCAAAUGGAGGAAAUAGUAUCUUGGAAGUACUUUUUUUGUGUGUGAGAGAUCUCGGAAGUACUUUCUAUGUACUCCACUACACAAGCAGUUUAUUUUAGCAUUUAAACUUAUUUAUCCUAGUGACACAGCCACCAAGAAAGUCGAAAUUUCCUGGAAAUUUCCUUUGGCAAAAUCUGAUAGUCAGUCUGACAAAGACAUUAAUAAUAGAUAUCAACUCAACAGCCAUCACACAAUGAAGAAAUUAAAAUAAGAAGGAAGUUGGUACUAUUUACUAUAUAAAAAAUAUUUAAAAUACAUUCACAUUUCUAUUUAAAUUUUAUUUUUCUUUCCUAUUUCUCUCCAUUUAUUAUCACAUCAUUUGUCAUAUUUCUCUCUUUUUUUAUUAUUAUUUAUAUGUCUGUUUUUUUUCUUCUACCGAUACAUCUUAAAAAUAGGAGUGUCUUAUUAUCAUUAGUCUUACACUUUAGUAACCUUUGAAAAUGAAACUCGUCUCCUGUAUCAGUCUGCAAGUUAUGAGCAAUUAAUAUAAUUUAAAGAUAUAAAAUUAACUUAAUAAUAAAAAUAAAAAGAAAAAAGGAAUAAGUCGUGGAUUUGAGUCUUUUCAAUAAUAGAAAUUAACAUUAAUAAUUAAUAUUUAUUGAUAAAAAACAUUUUUAUAGCUUAAUAAUCAUUUAAAAACUCUAAUAUAAAUUUUUAUGUUAAAAGUUAUUGUAAAAAAUGCCUUAAAAACGUUUAAUGUUAAUAGUUAUUUUUUAUGCUAUAAUGUUAAAAGUUAAAAAUUAAUGGUUUAUAGUAAAAUUGAAAAAUUAUAUAAUCGUACCUUAUAUGCUGAUUUUUUAAAAUAAUUUUAAAUUACCGUUAAUUAGGAGACUAUAGUGAAAAACAGAAAAAAAGAAGAAGAGGAGACUAUCAUGAAAUUUUUUAUUUUAAUUAAAAAAAUUAAAGUAAAGAGGCAAAAAUGACCGCAUAACAUGCCUUGAUCUGACCUAUAACGUAACCACUCUUGACUGGUCUUUUGUUGCUGAAAUUGAGAAUGCUUAAAACGCGGUAUAGACGCGUCUAGUAAGUUGAGUGUUAAUAAAGCCACAGCAACAUUUGGAAAAGGCAAUGUAAAUUGUUGCCGAAAUUUCUGCUGCUUGAUGUCAACAAUGGCGGAUGUCGGUCGAGAAAAGUAAAAAUUUACUGUAAAAGGGUUCAGACUACUGGAAAACGAGGGUUUUGCCUGAAUCCUAGUCCUGAUAAUUGAUUAACAGUUAAGAAAGAAUUUAGUUAAGAAUUUAUUUAAUAAAUUCAUCAUAAGAUUAAUGGUGAAAUUUAUUGAAAUGAGUUAAAAAGAAGUCUAUGACACAAUCGAAAAUCCCAUGGAUUUAAAUUGCCGUCGCCUUGUGGGGAGCCAAAAAAAUCUUGCGGAAAGAUACGGUUGAUGCGGCUGCAAUUGCGAUCGAUUACAGAGUAUCAAAAUACCUUGAACUUGGAAAAUCCUAAGAUUGCCAUUAUCUAAAGACAUUCCGUAGUUGGCAAGAGCAUCUGCUGGUGCAUUUAUCUCCUGAACAAUAUGUCGGCAGAAAUAGAUAAGAGGGAAACCCUUUCAACACAUUCUGGAGAAGCACCUGCUGAUGGCUAAUUUUAGACCAUGAAAAAUAGCCCAGAGUUCGGCCUCGACUAUGGAAUAACUACCCAAAUUGCAAGCCACAGCUGAUAAGAAAUAACCACUAUGAUCUCUGAGGAUACUGCCGGCUGCUGCUAUUUGAGAGGCAUAAGCAUAAGCUCCAUCUCUGUUAAUUUUUAUGAAUCCCUCAUCAGGAGGGUUCAAGAAAAAAAAAAGCUGCUCCGGAUGAUGAAGCAUUGUGGAUGAAUUUGCUCCCCUUUCAUUGUGGGUCUUUAAUUAGAGCCAGCUGAUCUGAAUGGCAAACAGCCUUAUGAAUGGAGAAAUCAGUGGAAAAGAGAGGGGCAAAAACAACUUCUAACUUCUUUUUCAAAUGGCAUGGAUUGAGAAACCAAGAAUGAAGGUUUUGGUUCCGAAAAUUUUGUUCCUUGAACCGGUGAAGAGAGGUUAGGAGCUAAACCUGUUCUGCUGUAGAACAAUCUCUUGGAGCAUGGACAGUAAUCUCUUCACGCUGUUGGCAGAGGGAGCAUUUGUGGUGAUAUUUCAGUGAUGCCUAAGAUAGUUGGUUGGGAGAGCAUCAUGGGCUGACUUCCAAAGAAAAAAUUUCACUCUUUUCGGACCUGGCCUGUCCCAAAUACUCCUAUUGUAGUUACGAUAAAUAGAAGCAAGAUUGAAAUUCCCAUUAGUAGAAAACUUCUAGAUCAAGGAAUCAUUUCCAUUCUCUAUAGAUGGUAGCAACAUUCCACAAAUAAUACAAACUACGUGGCUUGGGAGCAUUUCCUCAAGAAAGUCGUAAUUCCAAGAGCCAUCCUGUGCAGUGGCUUCAAUAACUUUUAAAUCCCAAUCUGAAUCCCCCAGGGACUUCAAAGCCAAUUUUGAAAGGGUUAAAGAACUUUUUUGGAACUUACUUAACAAACCUGUUUGGUCUAAUUCUUCCAAGUGCUGCAAGCAGAGACUUGUUGGAGAAGACUCAUUGGAGCUCUUCAGAGGUCUGUUAAUCGUGGUGAAUGGCAGUUGAUCAGGGUGUGUUUAAGAGAAAGAGAUUAGACUCAAAUGUAACUCCUUCUCCAAUUUACCUCACAAAGUUGAACUUGAGGUUUGUAUGGCCCAACUAGCAUGUCCCUUGGCAAUAAUGUAGACGUGUUUCUUUUCAUUAUUCA
Long non-coding RNA from Glycine soja, 2839 nucleotides. RefSeq lists it as uncharacterized. NCBI's taxonomy places the organism in Eukaryota, Viridiplantae, Streptophyta, Magnoliopsida, Fabales, Fabaceae. The record is from RefSeq and is a predicted model, not a curated record. The transcript has 2 exons.